Molecule: ribosomal RNA, 497 nt
Filed under: uncultured bacterium
Lineage: Bacteria
Description: partial 16S ribosomal RNA
Rfam family: Bacterial small subunit ribosomal RNA
Source: RNAcentral
GAUGAACGCUGGCGGCGUGCCUAAUACAUGCAAGUCGAGCGAACAGACGAGGAGCUUGCUCCUCUGACGUUAGCGGCGGACGGGUGAGUAACACGUGGAUAACCUACCUAUAAGACUGGGAUAACUUCGGGAAACCGGAGCUAGUACCGGAUAAUAUAUUGAACCGCAUGGUUCAAUAGUGAAAGACGGUUUUGCUGUCACUUAUAGAUGGAUCCGCGCCGCAUUAGCUAGUUGGUAAGGUAACGGCUUACCAAGGCAACGAUGCGUAGCCGAACUGAGAGGGUGGUCGCCCACACUGGAACGGAGACACGGUCCAGACUCCUGCGGGAGGCAGCAGUAGGGAAUCUGCCGCAAUGGGCGAAAGCCUGACGGAGCAACGCCGCGUGAGUGAUGAAGGUCUUCGGAUCGUAAAACUCUGUUAUUAGGGAAGAACAAAUGUGGAAGUAACUAUGCACGUCUUGACGGUACCUAAUCAGAAAGCCACGGCUAACUACGUG